This 1341-nucleotide ribosomal RNA is filed under the name Staphylococcus aureus. RNAcentral's name for it is "partial 23S ribosomal RNA". It matches the Rfam family "Bacterial large subunit ribosomal RNA", at positions 1580 to 2925 of the family's 2925-position model. Lineage: Bacteria; Bacillati; Bacillota; Bacilli; Caryophanales; Staphylococcaceae. The record is from RNAcentral.
GUGUCUUCGAGUCGUUGAUUUCACACUGCCGAGAAAAGCCUCUAGAUAGAAAAUAGGUGCCCGUACCGCAAACCGACACAGGUAGUCAAGAUGAGAAUUCUAAGGUGAGCGAGCGAACUCUCGUUAAGGAACUCGGCAAAAUGACCCCGUAACUUCGGGAGAAGGGGUGCUCUUUAGGGUUAACGCCCAGAAGAGCCGCAGUGAAUAGGCCCAAGCGACUGUUUAUCAAAAACACAGGUCUCUGCUAAACCGUAAGGUGAUGUAUAGGGGCUGACGCCUGCCCGGUGCUGGAAGGUUAAGAGGAGUGGUUAGCUUCUGCGAAGCUACGAAUCGAAGCCCCAGUAAACGGCGGCCGUAACUAUAACGGUCCUAAGGUAGCGAAAUUCCUUGUCGGGUAAGUUCCGACCCGCACGAAAGGCGUAACGAUUUGGGCACUGUCUCAACGAGAGACUCGGUGAAAUCAUAGUACCUGUGAAGAUGCAGGUUACCCGCGACAGGACGGAAAGACCCCGUGGAGCUUUACUGUAGCCUGAUAUUGAAAUUCGGCACAGCUUGUACAGGAUAGGUAGGAGCCUUUGAAACGUGAGCGCUAGCUUACGUGGAGGCGCUGGUGGGAUACUACCCUAGCUGUGUUGGCUUUCUAACCCGCACCACUUAUCGUGGUGGGAGACAGUGUCAGGCGGGCAGUUUGACUGGGGCGGUCGCCUCCUAAAAGGUAACGGAGGCGCUCAAAGGUUCCCUCAGAAUGGUUGGAAAUCAUUCAUAGAGUGUAAAGGCAUAAGGGAGCUUGACUGCGAGACCUACAAGUCGAGCAGGGUCGAAAGACGGACUUAGUGAUCCGGUGGUUCCGCAUGGAAGGGCCAUCGCUCAACGGAUAAAAGCUACCCCGGGGAUAACAGGCUUAUCUCCCCCAAGAGUUCACAUCGACGGGGAGGUUUGGCACCUCGAUGUCGGCUCAUCGCAUCCUGGGGCUGUAGUCGGUCCCAAGGGUUGGGCUGUUCGCCCAUUAAAGCGGUACGCGAGCUGGGUUCAGAACGUCGUGAGACAGUUCGGUCCCUAUCCGUCGUGGGCGUAGGAAAUUUGAGAGGAGCUGUCCUUAGUACGAGAGGACCGGGAUGGACAUACCUCUGGUGUACCAGUUGUCGUGCCAACGGCAUAGCUGGGUAGCUAUGUGUGGACGGGAUAAGUGCUGAAAGCAUCUAAGCAUGAAGCCCCCCUCAAGAUGAGAUUUCCCAACUUCGGUUAUAAGAUCCCUCAAAGAUGAUGAGGUUAAUAGGUUCGAGGUGGAAGCAUGGUGACAUGUGGAGCUGACGAAUACUAAUCGAUCGAAGACUUAAUCAA